GAUCCUGGCUCAGGACGAACGCUGGCGGCGCGCCUAACACGUGCAAGUCGAACGAGAGAUGAAGAGCUUGCUCUUCAAAUCGAGUGGCGAACGGGUGAGUAACGCGUGAGGAACCUGCCUCAAAGAGGGGGACAACAGUUGGAAACGACUGCUAAUACCGCAUAAGCCCACGGCUCGGCAUCGAGCAGGGGGAAAAGGAGCAAUCCGCUUUGAGAUGGCCUCGCGUCCGAUUAGCUAGUUGG
Molecule: ribosomal RNA, 242 nt
Filed under: uncultured bacterium
Lineage: Bacteria
Description: partial 16S ribosomal RNA
Rfam family: Bacterial small subunit ribosomal RNA
Source: RNAcentral